AACCUCAUUAGAAAUUAGCUGAGUCUAAACCCUGAUCGAAUCAGGAUCAAAUUUCUCUUGUAAUCAGGUUUGAUCAUAUCAAUCUCAAUCUGAGUCAAACUGAAUCUAAUUCAAUUAGACUUGUUCCAAAGCUCUUUACUCAAUCAAAUUGAGUCAAUUAGUAAUCUAAUUACUAAUUAAUUCUCUAUAAAUGGUAGAGUUUCAGUCCCAAUGGGAUUAUCCCAC
This 225-nucleotide long non-coding RNA is filed under the name Elaeis guineensis (African oil palm). RNAcentral's name for it is "long non-coding RNA (EGUI_LNC049902)". The record is from RNAcentral. Lineage: Eukaryota; Viridiplantae; Streptophyta; Magnoliopsida; Arecales; Arecaceae.